CAGUCGCCGCGGUAAUACGUAGGGGGCUAGCGUUGUUCGGAAUCACUGGGCGUAAAGGGUGCGUAGGCGGGCGACUCAGUCAGGGGUGAAAUCCCGAGGCUCAACCUCGGAACUGCCUUUGAUACUGGUUGUCUUGAGUCCGGAAGAGGUGAGUGGAACUGCGAGUGUAGAGGUGAAAUUCGUAGAUAUUCGCAAGAACACCGGUGGCGAAGGCGGCUCACUGGUCCGGAACUGACGCUGAGGCACGACAGCGUGGGGAGCAAACAGGAUUAGAUACCCCCGUAGUCCCUGUCUCUUAUAC
Molecule: ribosomal RNA, 301 nt
Filed under: uncultured bacterium
Lineage: Bacteria
Description: partial 16S ribosomal RNA
Rfam family: Bacterial small subunit ribosomal RNA
Source: RNAcentral